Cercocebus atys (sooty mangabey) is the source of this 71-nucleotide unclassified non-coding RNA. It matches the Rfam family "Y RNA". Rfam says of the family: Y RNAs are components of the Ro ribonucleoprotein particle (Ro RNP), in association with Ro60 and La proteins. The Y RNAs and Ro60 and La proteins are well conserved, but the function of the Ro RNP is not known. In humans the RNA component can be one of four small RNAs -- hY1, hY3, hY4 and hY5. The record is from Ensembl. Lineage: Eukaryota; Metazoa; Chordata; Mammalia; Primates; Cercopithecidae.
AGUUGGUCUGAAGGUUGUGGGUCACUGUUAAGUUCAUUAACAUUGUCUCGACCAUGACUGACUAGCUUAAA